This 390-nucleotide ribosomal RNA is filed under the name uncultured bacterium. RNAcentral describes it as "bacterial SSU rRNA". It matches the Rfam family "Bacterial small subunit ribosomal RNA", at positions 355 to 761 of the family's 1533-position model. The record is from RNAcentral.
UCGGGAAUUUUGGGCAAUGGGCGAAAGCCUGACCCAGCAACGCCGCGUGAAGGAUGAAGUAUUUCGGUAUGUAAACUUCGAAAGAAUAGGAAGAAUAAAUGACGGGUACUAUUUAUAAGGUCCGGCUAACUACGUGCCAGCAGCCGCGGUAAUACGUAGGGACCAAGCGUUGUUCGGAUUUACUGGGCGUAAAGGGCGCGUAGGCGGCAAUUCAAGUCAUCUGUGAAAUCUCCGGGCUUAACUCGGAACGGUCAGAUGAUACUGCUUUGCUAGAGUGCAGAAGGGGCAAUCGGAAUUCUUGGUGUAGCGGUGAAAUGCGUAGAUAUCAAGAGGAACACCUGAGGUGAAGACGGGUUGCUGGGCUGACACUGACGCUGAGGCGCGAAAGCC